RNAcentral lists this ribosomal RNA (450 nucleotides) under uncultured bacterium. Its description in RNAcentral is "partial 16S ribosomal RNA". It matches the Rfam family "Bacterial small subunit ribosomal RNA", at positions 354 to 796 of the family's 1533-position model. The record is from RNAcentral.
GUGGGGAAUAUUGGACAAUGGGCGAAAGCCUGAUCCAGCCAUGCCGCGUGUGUGAAGAAGGUCUUCGGAUUGUAAAGCACUUUAAGUUGGGAGGAAGGGCAGUAAGUUAAUACCUUGCUGUUUUGACGUUACCGACAGAAUAAGCACCGGCUAACUUCGUGCCAGCAGCCGCGGUAAUACGAAGGGUGCAAGCGUUAAUCGGAAUUACUGGGCGUAAAGCGCGCGUAGGUGGUUUUGUAAGUUGGAGGGGAAAACCCCGGGCUCAACCUGGGAACUGCCUACAAAACUGCAUGACUAGAGUACGGUAGAGGGUAGUGGAAUUUCCUGUGUAGCGGUGAAAUGCGUAGAUAUAGGAAGGAACACCAGUGGCGAAGGCGACUACCUGGACUGAUACUGACACUGAGGUGCGAAAGCGUGGGGAGCAAACAGGAUUAGAAACCCUGGUAGUCC